CGAGGAGCCCCGAGGAGCCGCAGGGCAGGAGGCCGCCGGGCAGCACGACGUGCCGACCGAAUCCCCGCACCGCGUGGGUAGCUUCUAUUCUGCUAUUACACCAUGGAGAAGCUAUUGUCCAGUCUACCCAACGUCCACCAUGGCAGUAUCCAGCAGCAGUCAUACUGAUGUUAAGCUUUUCACUGAUUCUACUUGAAUUAGCUACAGUCAAUGCUUUAACCACACACCUCUAGGAGAACAUGCCAGCUCUGGAAGAAUUCCUGUAACUUUGUGUAAGGAAAAGAAAAAAAAAGAUGUGGAAAUAGGCUCAAGUGUUCCCCAGAAGCGGAUAGAAAUGAGCAUGUAAUGGCUGAAAAUAAACAAUUAGAAGUUA
Non-coding RNA from Coturnix japonica (Japanese quail), 373 nucleotides. The record is from RefSeq and is a predicted model, not a curated record. Lineage: Eukaryota; Metazoa; Chordata; Aves; Galliformes; Phasianidae.